This 410-nucleotide ribosomal RNA is filed under the name uncultured Methylomirabilota bacterium. Its description in RNAcentral is "bacterial SSU rRNA". It matches the Rfam family "Bacterial small subunit ribosomal RNA", at positions 1025 to 1434 of the family's 1533-position model. The record is from RNAcentral. Lineage: Bacteria; Methylomirabilota (SeqCode).
AGCGUGGAGACAGGUGGUGCAUGGCUGUCGUCAGCUCGUGUCGUGAGAUGUUGGGUUAAGUCCCGCAACGAGCGCAACCCUCACCCCUUGUUGCUACCAGGUAAAGCUGGGCACUCUAGGGGAACUGCCCCGGUCAACGGGGAGGAAGGCGGGGAUGACGUCAAGUCAUCAUGCCCCUUACGUCCUGGGCUACACACGUGCUACAAUGGCCGGUACAAAGGGAUGCAACGCCGCGAGGCAGAGCCAAACCCAAAAAGCCGGUCUAAGUUCAGAUUGGAGUCUGCAACUCGACUCCAUGAAGGAGGAAUCGCUAGUAAUCGCGUAUCAGCACGACGCGGUGAAUACGUUCCCGGGCCUUGUACACACCGCCCGUCACACCACGAAAGCCAGCUGUACUCGAAGUCGCUGAG